GGGCAGGUUCUGUGAGAUAAGACAAAUCAAAGGGAGGUGUGUACGGUGCCAGCGACUGCUUCAGAGAAUCUUCCUCCAAAGGAGGGUCACCACCAUACAGGAAGUGUUCAGGCUCUCUCAGUAAAUCUUCAUCGAUAUUCUGGCCCAUUACAUCAUAUUCAAAAUCACCCCACGAGGCUUCAGAUGAGCAGAUAUCUUGCUUCCCUAGGUCCCCAUCAACUGGCGUUUCCGGAUGGCCUUCGGAUAAUGUCAGUUUACUCAUGUCAUCUAUUGUUCCCGUGGAUGUGUUGAGACCUGAGGCAUCGCUGAAACUGUGGUCAAAGGCAGCUUCGCUUAUAUCCAGACAAGUGUCUGAGGCUAGCAAAGCAUCAGGAACCAAGGCAGGAUUCUCUGUGGAUAAAUGUGGAUCACCAUCAAACAAAGCUCUUGCACCAGGCUGACUUUCAGGAGAAAAGCUGUCUGAUAUCCAAGAACCGUCACCUUCUGGAGUUGGCUCUUGUUCUGGAAGACGGAAAGUCCAAGAUCAAGAUCCUGACAUACUCGCUGUCUGAUGAGCACCUGCCUCCUGAUUCAUAGGCUGCCAUCUUUUUGCUGUGUCCUCACGUGACAGAAAAGGUCUGCAGGCUCACUGACACUCUCUGAAGAUGGCGGGUUCCUAAAAAGUCAUGAGAGUUGAGGGAUGCAUUUCAGUGUAUGCUCAGAGACAUCAUGGCUUUCAUCAUCUUCCUUCUUCUUCUGAGUAACCAACUCUAGGUGAGAAAUAAGAAAGGCUGCUGACUUUACCAUCUGAGGCCACACAUCUGCUGAAAUGGAGAUAAUUAACAUCACUAGAAACAGCAAGAUGACAAUAUAAUGUCUAAGUAGUGACAUGUUUUUGCACAUUUCCAGCCCCUUUAAAUAUCCACACACACAGGAAGCACAAAAGGAAGCACAGAGAUCCCUGGGAGAAAUGCCCGGCCGCCAUCUUGGGUCAUCGAUGAGCCUCGCCCUGUGCCUGGUCCCGCUUGUGAGGGAAGGACAUUAGAAAAUGAAUUGAUGUGUUCCUUAAAGGAUGGGCAGGAAAACAGAUCCUGUUGUGGAUAUUUAUUUGAACGGGAUUACAGAUUUGAAAUGAAGUCACAAAGUGAGCAUUACCAAUGAGAGGAAAACAGACGAGAAAAUCUUGAUGGCUUCACAAGACAUGCAACAAACAAAAUGGAAUACUGUGAUGACAUGAGGCAGCCAAGCUGGGGAGGAGAUAACCACGGGGCAGAGGGUCAGGAUUCUGGCCCUGCUGCCUAAACUGUGCGUUCAUAACCAAAUCAUUUCAUAUUUCUAACCCUCAAAACAAAGCUGUUGUAAUAUCUGAUCUCUACGGUUCCUUCUGGGCCCAACAUUCUCCAUAUAUCCAGCCACACUCAUUUUUAAUAUUUAGUUCCCAGAUCUGUACUGUGACCUUUCUACACUGUAGAAUAACAUUACUCAUUUUGUUCAAAGACCCUUCGUGUUGCUGCCUAAUAUGUAGCUGACUGUUUUUCCUAAGGAGUGUUCUGGCCCAGGGGAUCUGUGAACAGGCUGGGAAGCAUCUCAAGAUCUUUCCAGGGUUAUACUUACUAGCACACAGCAUGAUCAUUACGGAGUGAAUUAUCUAAUCAACAUCAUCCUCAGUGUCUUUGCCCAUACUGAAAUUCAUUUCCCACUUUUGUGCCCAUUCUCAAGACCUCAAAAUGUCAUUCCAUUAAUAUCACAGGAUUAACUUUUUUUUUUAACCUGGAAGAAUUCAAUGUUACAUGCAGCUAUGGGAAUUUAAUUACAUAUUUUGUUUUCCAGUGCAAAGAUGACUAAGUCCUUUAUCCCUCCCCUUUGUUUGAUUUUUUUUCCAGUAUAAAGUUAAAAUGCUUAGCCUUGUACUGAGGCUGUAUACAGCCACAGCCUCUCCCCAUCCCUCCAGCCUUAUCUGUCAUCACCAUCAACCCCUCCCAUGCACCUAAACAAAAUCUAACUUGUAAUUCCUUGAACAUGUCAGGCAUACAUUAUUCCUUCUGCCUGAGAAGCUCUUCCUUGUCUCUUAAAUCUAGAAUGAUGUAAAGUUUUGAAUAAGUUGACUAUCUUACUUCAUGCAAAGAAGGGACACAUAUGAGAUUCAUCAUCACAUGAGACAGCAAAUACUAAAAGUGUAAUUUGAUUAUAAGAGUUUAGAUAAAUAUAUGAAAUGCAAGAGCCACAGAGGGAAUGUUUAUGGGGCACGUUUGUAAGCCUGGGAUGUGAAGCAAAGGCAGGGAACCUCAUAGUAUCUUAUAUAAUAUACUUCAUUUCUCUAUCUCUAUCACAAUAUCCAACAAGCUUUUCACAGAAUUCAUGCAGUGCAAAUCCCCAAAGGUAACCUUUAUCCAUUUCAUGGUGAGUGCGCUUUAGAAUUUUGGCAAAUCAUACUGGUCACUUAUCUCAACUUUGAGAUGUGUUUGUCCUUGUAGUUAAUUGAAAGAAAUAGGGCACUCUUGUGAGCCACUUUAGGGUUC
Long non-coding RNA from Homo sapiens (human), 2498 nucleotides. Ensembl annotates it as prostate cancer associated 3. Its record names the gene PCA3. The record is from Ensembl. Lineage: Eukaryota; Metazoa; Chordata; Mammalia; Primates; Hominidae.